Molecule: ribosomal RNA, 253 nt
Filed under: uncultured bacterium
Lineage: Bacteria
Description: partial 16S ribosomal RNA
Rfam family: Bacterial small subunit ribosomal RNA
Source: RNAcentral
UACGUAGGGUGCAAGCGUUAAUCGGAAUUACUGGGCGUAAAGCGUGCGCAGGCGGUUGUGCAAGACAGAUGUGAAAUCCCCGGGCUCAACCUGGGAAUUGCAUUUGUGACUGCACGGCUAGAGUGUGUCAGAGGGGGGUAGAAUUCCACGUGUAGCAGUGAAAUGCGUAGAGAUGUGGAGGAAUACCGAUGGCGAAGGCGGCCUCCUGGUACACUCCUGACACUCAGACGCGAAAGCUAGGGGAGCGAACGGG